GCCGGCGUAACUCAGGUGGUAGAGUAGCUGAUUCGUAAUCAGCAAGUCAGCAGUUCGAGUCUGCUCGCCGGCUCCA
This 76-nucleotide transfer RNA is filed under the name Desulfotignum balticum. Its description in RNAcentral is "tRNA-Thr". It matches the Rfam family "tRNA". From Rfam's summary of the family: Transfer RNA (tRNA) molecules are approximately 80 nucleotides in length. Their secondary structure includes four short double-helical elements and three loops (D, anti-codon, and T loops). Lineage: Bacteria; Pseudomonadati; Thermodesulfobacteriota; Desulfobacteria; Desulfobacterales; Desulfobacteraceae. RNAcentral also lists the same sequence under 4 other names. The record is from RNAcentral.